Molecule: long non-coding RNA, 512 nt
Organism: Malus domestica (apple)
Lineage: Eukaryota; Viridiplantae; Streptophyta; Magnoliopsida; Rosales; Rosaceae
Source: RefSeq, a predicted model, not a curated record
UGGCUCAAGGUCAAGAUAAAAGGACAUUCAACUCAAUUCAACAAUAAGACAAUUUGGAUAAACCCCUAAAAGGAGGAGGAGGGCUACUCCUUCCCCCUUUCCAUUAGUUGUGUACUUGUGUGCCUUUGUCUAGGUUUCACAACAAACUAACUAUAAAUUACAAUAAAGAGCGUGUAUGCUGCUGUCUGUGCUGUGCUAGAAUUGCCUCCACCAUAUCCAUGUGAGUCCAAGACUGCCCUUAACACCAGACUGCCAGUUCGGAAUAGUGGCGGAAGGAGGAUGAGACUAACCAUGCCAGCGUUGUCUAUUCAAUAGCCAAUAUUUCUCCACCCUCCUAUUGUCCUUGCCCAAUGGCCCGACGGGAUAAGAUAAGGACCCUCACCAAACACGACAAUGGCAAUGGCACUGCCAUCCCUUUUAUUUUAUUUUAUUUAUUUUUUUGUUUCUUUUCAAUAAACAAUAUUAUCUACACUAAGGUUAGUGGGGAAGUGGAUUAAACCUCACAAUGGCUA